This 253-nucleotide ribosomal RNA is filed under the name uncultured bacterium. Its description in RNAcentral is "partial 16S ribosomal RNA". It matches the Rfam family "Bacterial small subunit ribosomal RNA", at positions 524 to 776 of the family's 1533-position model. The record is from RNAcentral.
UACGAAGGGGGCUAGCGUUGCUCGGAAUUACUGGGCGUAAAGCGCGCGUAGGCGGGCUGUUAAGUCGGGGGUGAAAGCCUGGGGCUCAACCUCAGACUUGCCUUCGAUACUGACAGACUGGAGUAUGAUAGAGGGUGGUGGAAUGUGGGGUGUAGAGGUGAAAUGCGUAGAUAUUCCGCAGAACACCAGUGGCGAAGGCAGAUGGCUAGGUCGUUGCUGACGCUGAGGCGCGAAAGCGUGGGUAGCAAACAGG